RNAcentral lists this transfer RNA (355 nucleotides) under uncultured Microcystis sp. RNAcentral's name for it is "partial 16S-23S ribosomal RNA intergenic spacer". The stretch from base 133 to 206 matches the Rfam family "tRNA". The record is from RNAcentral. Lineage: Bacteria; Bacillati; Cyanobacteriota; Cyanophyceae; Chroococcales; Microcystaceae.
AAGGGAGACCUAAUUCGGGUAUAAGACGAAAAAAGAGUAGUCGAAACCAAGAAUCAAUCCCAAAAGGUCGGAACGAGGUAUGUGGCUUUCAAACUAGGUUCUGGGUUCACACAAGACCUGAAUCAGGAACAAGGGCUAUUAGCUCAGGUGGUUAGAGCGCACCCCUGAUAAGGGUGAGGUCCCUGGUUCGAGUCCAGGAUGGCCCACCUGCACAGGUGGCAAAAACAAAGAAGCGAGGAAUCAGCACCUUAUCUUAUCUAUAUAUAAGAGAGAAUGCUGGCUCUGAGUAAAGAGUUCAGAGGAACCUUGAAAACUGCAUAGAGCUAGGUGAAAAAGCCAAAAAAGAAGACCGCAA